RNAcentral lists this ribosomal RNA (801 nucleotides) under Aerococcus sp. C137-PCA-T3P21. RNAcentral's name for it is "bacterial SSU rRNA". It matches the Rfam family "Bacterial small subunit ribosomal RNA", at positions 52 to 836 of the family's 1533-position model. Lineage: Bacteria; Bacillati; Bacillota; Bacilli; Lactobacillales; Aerococcaceae. The record is from RNAcentral.
UACAUGCAGUCGAGCGAACAGAUGAAGUGCUUGCACUUCUGACGUUAGCGGCGAACGGGUGAGUAACACGUAAGGAAUCUACCUAUAAGCGGGGGAUAACAUUCGGAAACGGGUGCUAAUACCGCAUAAUAUCUUCUUCCGCAUGGAAGAAGAUUGAAAGACGGCUCUGCUGUCACUUAUAGAUGACCUUGCGGUGCAUUAGUUAGUUGGUGGGGUAACGGCCUACCAAGACGAUGAUGCAUAGCCGACCUGAGAGGGUGAUCGGCCACAUUGGGACUGAGACACGGCCCAAACUCCUACGGGAGGCAGCAGUAGGGAAUCUUCCGCAAUGGGCGAAAGCCUGACGGAGCAAUGCCGCGUGAGUGAAGAAGGCCUUCGGGUCGUAAAACUCUGUUAUAAGAGAAGAACAAAUUGUAGAGUAACUGCUACAGUCUUGACGGUAUCUUAUCAGAAAGCCACGGCUAACUACGUGCCAGCAGCCGCGGUAAUACGUAGGUGGCAAGCGUUGUCCGGAUUUAUUGGGCGUAAAGGGAGCGCAGGUGGUUUCUUAAGUCUGAUGUGAAAGCCCACGGCUUAACCGUGGAGGGUCAUUGGAAACUGGGAAACUUGAGUACAGAAGAGGAAUGUGGAACUCCAUGUGUAGCGGUGGAAUGCGUAGAUAUAUGGAAGAACACCAGUGGCGAAGGCGACAUUCUGGUCUGUUACUGACACUGAGGCUCGAAAGCGUGGGGAGCAAACAGGAUUAGAUACCCUGGUAGUCCACGCCGUAAACGAUGAGUGCUAGGUGUUGGAGGGUUUCCG